GAUGAACGCGGGCGGCGUGCCUAAUACAGGCAAGUCGAGCGAACAGACGAGGAGCUUGCUCCUCUGACGUUAGCGGCGGACGGGUGAGUAACACGUGGAUAACCUACCUAUAAGACUGGGAUAACUUCGGGAAACCGGAGCUAAUACCGGAUAAUAUAUUGAACCGCAUGGUUCAAUAGUGAAAGACGGUUUUGCUGUCACUUAUAGAUGGAUCCGCGCCGCAUUAGCUAGUUGGUAAGGUAACGGCUUACCAAGGCAACGAUGCGUAGCCGACCUGAGAGGGUGAUCGGCCACACUGGAACUGAGACACGGUCCAGACUCCUACGGGAGGCAGCAGUAGGGAAUCUUCCGCAAUGGGCGAAAGCUUGACGGAGCAACGCCGCGUGAGUGAUGAAGGUCUUCGGAUCGUAAAACUCUGUUAUUAGGGAAGAACAAAUGUGUAAGUAACUAUGCACGUCUUGACGGUACCUAAUCAGAAAGCCACGGCUAACUACGUG
RNAcentral lists this ribosomal RNA (497 nucleotides) under uncultured bacterium. RNAcentral describes it as "partial 16S ribosomal RNA". It matches the Rfam family "Bacterial small subunit ribosomal RNA", at positions 28 to 507 of the family's 1533-position model. The record is from RNAcentral.